GAAUUAUAACGAGAAGCGGAGAGAACGGGCUCUAUGAAACUUCGGCAACCUAUCGCAACGAUAAGGUGCCACGUCCCGACCUGCCAAGGACAGGAAAUAUAAUUA
This 105-nucleotide non-coding RNA is filed under the name Alistipes sp. CAG:157. Its description in RNAcentral is "SAM riboswitch aptamer (S box leader)". It matches the Rfam family "SAM riboswitch aptamer (S box leader)". From Rfam's summary of the family: The SAM riboswitch is found upstream of a number of genes which code for proteins involved in methionine or cysteine biosynthesis in Gram-positive bacteria. The SAM riboswitch acts at the level of transcription termination control. The predicted structure consists of a complex stem-loop region followed by a single stem loop terminator region. Lineage: Bacteria; Pseudomonadati; Bacteroidota; Bacteroidia; Bacteroidales; Rikenellaceae. The record is from Rfam by way of RNAcentral. RNAcentral also lists the same sequence under 1 other name.